GUGGGGAAUCUUCCGCAAUGGACGAAAGUCUGACGGAGCGACGCCGCGUGAGUGAAGAAGGCCUUCGGGUCGUAAAGCUCUGUCAUCAGGGACGAAUGGCCGGUGGAGUGGAAAGCCACCGGAUUGACGGUACCUGAGAAGGAAGCCACGGCUAACUACGUGCCAGCAGCCGCGGUAAUACGUAGGUGGCAAGCGUUGUCCGGAAUUAUUGGGCGUAAAGCGCGCGCAGGUGGGAUCUUAAGUCCAUUUUGAAAGUUCGGAGCUCAACUCCGUGAUGGGAUGGAAACUGGGAUUCGUGAGUACCGGAGAGGAAAGCGGAAUUCCCCGUGUAGCGGUGAAAUGCGUAGAUAUGGGGAGGAACACCAGUGGCGAAGGCGGCUUUCUGGACGGUGUCUGACACUGAGGCGCGAAAGCCAGGGGAGCGAACGGGAUUAGAUACCCGAGUAGUCC
RNAcentral lists this ribosomal RNA (450 nucleotides) under uncultured bacterium. Its description in RNAcentral is "partial 16S ribosomal RNA". It matches the Rfam family "Bacterial small subunit ribosomal RNA", at positions 354 to 796 of the family's 1533-position model. The record is from RNAcentral.